GGUUCUAUCACGUAGAAGAUGUUUG
Molecule: small RNA, 25 nt
Filed under: Bombyx mori (domestic silkworm)
Lineage: Eukaryota; Metazoa; Arthropoda; Insecta; Lepidoptera; Bombycidae
Description: ovarian small RNA-17587
Source: RNAcentral